RNAcentral lists this ribosomal RNA (383 nucleotides) under Enterocytozoon bieneusi. RNAcentral describes it as "SSU rRNA". It matches the Rfam family "Microsporidia small subunit ribosomal RNA", at positions 51 to 429 of the family's 1311-position model. Lineage: Eukaryota; Fungi; Microsporidia; Enterocytozoonidae. The record is from RNAcentral.
UGCAUGUCAGUGCAGCCUUACGGUGGAACGGCGAACGGCUCAGUAAUGUUGCGGUAAUUUGGUCUCUGUGUGUAAACUAACCACGGUAACCUGUGGCUAAAAGCGGAGAAUAAGGCGCAACCCUAUCAGCUUGUUGGUAGUGUAAAGGACUACCAAGGCUAUGACGGGUAACGGGAAAUCAGGGUUUGAUUCCGGAGAGGGAGCCUGAGAGAUGGCUCCCACGUCCAAGGACGGCAGCAGGCGCGAAACUUGUCCACUCCUUACUGGGGAGACAGUCAUGAGACGUGAGUAUAAGACCUGAGUGUAAAGACCUUAGGGUGAAGCAAUUGGAGGGCAAGCUUUGGUGCCAGCAGCCGCGGUAACUCCAACUCCAAGAGUGUCUA